Molecule: ribosomal RNA, 301 nt
Filed under: uncultured bacterium
Lineage: Bacteria
Description: partial 16S ribosomal RNA
Rfam family: Bacterial small subunit ribosomal RNA
Source: RNAcentral
CAGCCGCCACGGUAAUACGAAGGGGGCUAGCGUUGUUCGGAUUUACUGGGCGUAAAGGGCGCGUAGGCGGACUGAUAAGUCAGGGGUGAAAUCCCAAGGCUCAACCUUGGAACUGCCUUUGAUACUGUUUGUCUUGAGUUCGAGAGAGGUAAGUGGAACUGCGAGUGUAGAGGUGAAAUUCGUAGAUAUUCGGAAGAACACCAGUGGCGAAGGCGACUCGCUGGACAAGUAUUGACGCUGAGGUGCGAAAGCGUGGGGAGCAAACGGGAUUAGAUACCCGCGUAGUCCCUGUCUCUUAUAC